This 91-nucleotide non-coding RNA is filed under the name Chloroflexota bacterium. Its description in RNAcentral is "Chloroflexi bacterium c-di-GMP sequence". It matches the Rfam family "c-di-GMP-I riboswitch aptamer". From Rfam's summary of the family: GEMM was predicted in a large-scale screen for bacterial structured RNA regulatory elements. Genes associated with GEMM are involved in a diverse array of functions, including chemotaxis regulation, signal transduction, secretion and chitin. Lineage: Bacteria; Bacillati; Chloroflexota. The record is from RNAcentral.
CCCCGAUAAGGGCUAACCACUCGAAAGGGUGGGGCGCAAAGCGCCGGGCCUACCGCCCCGAGCCACGGGCUAUGGCGGCCGCGCUACCGAA